This 426-nucleotide ribosomal RNA is filed under the name uncultured bacterium. RNAcentral describes it as "bacterial SSU rRNA". It matches the Rfam family "Bacterial small subunit ribosomal RNA", at positions 354 to 796 of the family's 1533-position model. The record is from RNAcentral.
GUGAGGAAUUUUCCGCAAUGGGCGAAAGCCUGACGGAGCAAUGCCGCGUGAAGGAUGAAGGCCUAUGGGUUGUAAACUUCUUUUCUCAGAAAAGAAUUAUGACGGUAUCUGAGGAAUAAGCAUCGGCUAACUCUGUGCCAGCAGCCGCGGUAAGACAGAGGAUGCAAGCGUUAUCCGGAAUGAUUGGGCGUAAAGCAUCUGUAGGUUGUUUAAAAAGUAUUCUGUCAAAGAUUAGGGCUUAACCCUAGAUAGGCAGAAUAAACUUUUAAGCUAGAGUUUGGUAGAGGCAGAGGUAAUUCCCGGUGGAGCGGUGAAAUGCGUAGAUAUCGGGAGGGACACCAAAGGCGAAGGCACUCUGCUGGGCCAAUACUAACACUGAGAGACGAAAGCGAGGGGAGCAAAUGGGAUUAGAUACCCUUGUAGUCC